RNAcentral lists this unclassified non-coding RNA (401 nucleotides) under soil metagenome. RNAcentral describes it as "partial contains 5.8S ribosomal RNA, internal transcribed spacer 2, and large subunit ribosomal RNA". The stretch from base 1 to 121 matches the Rfam family "5.8S ribosomal RNA", at positions 35 to 154 of the family's 154-position model. The record is from RNAcentral.
GAUGAAGAACGCAGCGAAAUGCGAUAAGUAAUGUGAAUUGCAGAAUUCAGUGAAUCAUCGAAUCUUUGAACGCACCUUGCGCCCUUUGGCUAUUCCGAAGGGCAUGCCUGUUUGAGUAUCAUGAACACCUCAACUCUCAUGGUUUACCAUGAUGAGCUUGGACUCUGGGGGUCUUGCUGGCCUAUGGUCAGCUCCUCUCAAAUAAAUCAGCUUGCCAGUGUUUGGUGGCAUCACAGGUGUGAUAACUAUCUACGCUUGUGGUUUUCCAUCAGGUAACCUUCAGUGAUGGAGGCUCGCUGGAGCUCAUAAAUGUCCCUCCUCAGCGAGGACAGCUUUUUGAACGUUUGAUCUCAAAUCAGGUAGGACUACCCGCUGAACUUAAGCAUAUCAAAAGCGGAGGA